UAGGGAAUAUUGGACAAUGGGGGAAACCCUGAUCCAGCAAUGCCGCGUGAGUGAAGAAGGCCUUCGGGUUGUAAAGCUCUUUCAUCAAUGAUGAUAAUGACAUUAGUCGAAGAAGAAGCCCCGGCUAACUUCGUGCCAGCAGCCGCGGUAAUACGAAUGGUGCUAGCGUUGUUCGGAAUCACUGGGCGUAAAGCGUAUGUAGGCGGAUCAAAAAGUUAGAUGUGAAAUCCCUGGGCUCAACCCAGGAACUGCAUUUAAAACUAGUGAUCUAGAAAAUGGUAGGGGUUAGUAGAAUUUCCAGUGUAGAGGUGAAAUUCGUAGAUAUUGGAAAGAAUACCAGUGGCGAAGGCGACUAACUGGGCCAUUUUUGACGCUGAGAUACGAAAGCGUGGGUAGCAAACAGG
Molecule: ribosomal RNA, 404 nt
Filed under: uncultured bacterium
Lineage: Bacteria
Description: bacterial SSU rRNA
Rfam family: Bacterial small subunit ribosomal RNA
Source: RNAcentral